RNAcentral lists this ribosomal RNA (326 nucleotides) under uncultured Streptococcus sp. RNAcentral describes it as "bacterial SSU rRNA". It matches the Rfam family "Bacterial small subunit ribosomal RNA", at positions 1054 to 1382 of the family's 1533-position model. Lineage: Bacteria; Bacillati; Bacillota; Bacilli; Lactobacillales; Streptococcaceae. The record is from RNAcentral.
GUCAGCUCGUGUCGUGAGAUGUUGGGUUAAGUCCCGCAACGAGCGCAACCCCUAUUGUUAGUUGCCAUCAUUCAGUUGGGCACUCUAGCGAGACUGCCGGUAAUAAACCGGAGGAAGUGGGGAUGACGUCAAAUCAUCAUGCCCCUUAUGACCUGGGCUACACACGUGCUACAAUGGUUGGUACAACGAGUUGCGAGUCGGUGACGGCGAGCUAAUCUCUUAAAGCCAAUCUCAGUUCGGAUUGUAGGCUGCAACUCGCCUACAUGAAGUCGGAAUCGCUAGUAAUCGCGGAUCAGCACGCCGCGGUGAAUACGUUCCCGGGCCUU